CAGUAGCCGCGGUAAUACGAAGGGUGCAAGCGUUACUCGGAAUUACUGGGCGUAAAGCGUGCGUAGGUGGUGGUUUAAGUCCGUUGUGAAAGCCCUGGGCUCAACCUGGGAAUUGCAGUGGAUACUGGGUCACUAGAGUGUGGUAGAGGAUAGUGGAAUUUCCGGUGUAGCAGUGAAAUGCGUAGAGAUCGGAAGGAACAUCUGUGGCGAAGGCGACUAUCUGGGCCAACACUGACACUGAGGCACGAAAGCGUGGGGAGCAAACAGGAUUAGAUACCCCUGUAGUCCUUGUCUCUUAUAC
RNAcentral lists this ribosomal RNA (301 nucleotides) under uncultured bacterium. RNAcentral describes it as "partial 16S ribosomal RNA". It matches the Rfam family "Bacterial small subunit ribosomal RNA", at positions 509 to 807 of the family's 1533-position model. The record is from RNAcentral.